This 859-nucleotide ribosomal RNA is filed under the name Isoetes yunguiensis. RNAcentral's name for it is "eukaryotic LSU rRNA". The stretch from base 409 to 561 matches the Rfam family "5.8S ribosomal RNA". Lineage: Eukaryota; Viridiplantae; Streptophyta; Lycopodiopsida; Isoetales; Isoetaceae. The record is from RNAcentral.
GUCCACUGAACCUUAUCAUUUAGAGGAAGGAGAAGGCGUAACAAGGUUUCCGUAGGUGAACCUGCGGAAGGAUCAUUGACACACGUCCGUGCAAACCGUUGAACCGUUUCCUUGUCCCCCUGAGGGGCCACACCUGGAGGUGUGGCUGCUCGCGCCAUGGCUCCCCUAAACUCGGUUACCUUGCGAGGCACCAAGGGGUGGCGUCGGGCGGGGCUCCUUGCCGGUGCCGUCCAUACGCUCGGGUGCGCGUGGAUUGGGCAAGUGUUCCCCUCCUCCCGUGCCUCUCGGGGCUCGGGUGCCAUUUGCAUUGCGUUUCGGGAACCUUAUGUGUCUUGGAUGGUGAGCGACUCUGGAUUGGGGGGGUCUUCCCGGCCGCCCCGCACCGGAUAGCGAAAUGAUGGAUAGUACCACUCUCAGCAACGGAUAUCUUGGCUCUUGCCACGAUGAAGAACGCAGCGAAAUGCGAUACGUGAUGUGAAUUGCAGAACUCCGUGAAUCAUUGAAUCUUUGAACGCAACUUGCGCCCGGGGCUUGUCCGAGGGCAUGUCUGGCUGAGCGUCUAAUCGUCCCUCUCGCUCGCACUGAAUGCGAAGCGCAAAUUGGCCGUCCAUGGCAAGCACGUGGUCGGCUGGAGUGCAUAGGGAGGACGCCGCACUCUAAAUGCGUCGCGUGACUGGCGGGGUUGGUUCGGGUUAUCGUUUGCUUCCGGCUGCGGCUGGUCCUAGGCGGUUCCCCCCCACCUGCCAACAUGUUGCUCGUCGCUAAGGUGUCGGCUGGUUCCCUUGUGUGGCCACUACCCAAGAGACCUCAGAUCAGGCAAGGCUACCCGCUGAGUUUAAGCAUAUCAAUAAGCGGAGGA